Molecule: long non-coding RNA, 227 nt
Filed under: Elaeis guineensis (African oil palm)
Lineage: Eukaryota; Viridiplantae; Streptophyta; Magnoliopsida; Arecales; Arecaceae
Description: long non-coding RNA (EGUI_LNC036883)
Source: RNAcentral
CAGUGAGUUUGUUAUGUUAUCCACAAGGCUUGCUAUAGAAAUUGAUAUGAUGUUAACUUAGUACAUAAUAAUAUUUAUAGCAUAUUUGAAUAGUAUUGCUUUAUUGUGCUAUCCACAAGGGUAGCAUUGUUUAAGUAUGACUAUAUAAGAAUGAAAGGUUUAACUUAACUAGAACAUUAUAGUUUGUUAUGCUGUCCAUAAGACUAUAGGUGUUUUAGAGGCAAAAG